AGUUAAUGAACUUGUAAUAGUUUAUGUUUUGAAAACAUAAUAUAGAAACUAAUUAUUUCUAUUAACUU
This 68-nucleotide transfer RNA is filed under the name Exallonyx sp. ZJUH_2016014. RNAcentral's name for it is "tRNA-Ser". The record is from RNAcentral. Lineage: Eukaryota; Metazoa; Arthropoda; Insecta; Hymenoptera; Proctotrupidae.